UAUAGGAAGCCUUCGGGUGGAAUAGAUGUAGACUUAGUGGCGGACGGGUGAGUAACGCGUGAGCAACCUGCCCAUAAGAGGGGGACAACAGUUGGAAACGACUGCUAAUACCGCAUAAGACCACGCUAUCGCAUGAUAGAGGGGUCAAAGAAAUAUCGCUUAUGGAUGGGCUCGCGUCCCAUUAGGUAGUUGGUGAGGUAACGGCCCACCAAGCCGACGAUGGGUAGCCGACCUGAGAGGGUGACCGGCCACAUUGGGACUGAGACACGGCCCAAACUCC
Molecule: ribosomal RNA, 280 nt
Filed under: uncultured Bacillota bacterium
Lineage: Bacteria; Bacillati; Bacillota
Description: uncultured Firmicutes bacterium partial 16S ribosomal RNA
Rfam family: Bacterial small subunit ribosomal RNA
Source: RNAcentral